CACACAAGAGCUACAACCUUAUCAGCAGCAAAGUUGCUUCUAGCCAUUGCAGCAAUAUUUCCGUUAGUCUCCUCCCAAAACCCCCUUUCUUCAUCAUCGCUGGGAUCUAUGUGGAUCACCUGCACUCAAUUGGACCGAACUUCGAGUAAACGGGUUUGAUGAUAGGAAUAAAAGGAAAGCGAGAAGGCUUACAUCCAACCAGGACUACUUGUCUGUGGGAAGACACAGAGUGCAUAUCUGCAGCACAACACAUCAAUGGAACAGCCAUUGCUGUAUCUUUCAACCUCUUCUCAAAAACAGCCUGUAGUGACAUAGAUCACGCAAGGACAAGAGUAAGCAAGAGAGACGAGAUUCCGAGCAUGUUCAGCUAAGCUUAUAAAAAGUUUUCCUUCGCAA
This is a long non-coding RNA of Olea europaea var. sylvestris, 396 nucleotides long. RefSeq lists it as uncharacterized. NCBI's taxonomy places the organism in Eukaryota, Viridiplantae, Streptophyta, Magnoliopsida, Lamiales, Oleaceae. The transcript has 2 exons. The record is from RefSeq and is a predicted model, not a curated record.